Sus scrofa (pig) is the source of this 2359-nucleotide non-coding RNA. NCBI's taxonomy places the organism in Eukaryota, Metazoa, Chordata, Mammalia, Artiodactyla, Suidae. The record is from RefSeq and is a predicted model, not a curated record.
CAUAUUUUCAGACGGUGGGGCUGGGCUGGUUGGAGGCUGUGAGGAGCCAUAGCCUUUCAGGUGGCCCAGCCUGAGGGGUCUUCUGCUGGACCUUCCACAGGAAUUGCCAAGCCACAACCUGCUAAGGAAGAGGAUGUGUCGCCCAUAUCUGCCAUUGGACGAUUUCCCCAGGCAGAGGUCUCUGCCAUGGAAUUUAGGGCCAUCCUACAGAAGAUGACCUCAUCUCAACUACAUUUGGAAAGACACUUUCCCCAGAAAAGAAGUCUCCAGGCUUUAAAGUGCUAAAAGGAAGCAAUCUUGUCAUCACAAAGGAAGUUAGCCUUUGGAUGAAGCUGGCAACAUGGGAAACAGGAGAGAAAUAGGGAAAAACUGAAUCCUUGCUGGACUCCCUAUCUGAAGACCUUCGCCAGUGUACUUUUCUGUUAUACAACUCAGUCAAUGCUUUCACUGCUUAUGCCAAUUUGAGCCAAGUAUUCUGAAAGCUCCAGAUCAGAACAGAUCAGAGCAGAAAGCCAUCACAAGACCUCCACUAUGUGGCAGAAGCCAAUGUUUUGGAUAUAGGAGCCAGUUUCCUUGUCGUUCUGAAUCUUUUAUUUUCAACACUAAAUACCCCCAGCUCUUUGGGGAUUCUUUGUCCCAUCCCCAUAUAAUUACAGUUAAUGGCCUGUCCUUUGAAGUUCUUGAAACAAUUCUUGUUUGGGUCCCUUUCUUUUAAUUCUCUGCUUCCACAGUAGACCUGGCUAUAAUUGUCUAGUUUUCCAACUUUGAAUCUGAUAUAGACAAAAUAUAAAAACGUAUGAUAGUAGGUUUUGUCUCCCAGUUGAUGCAUUGUGGAAGUAAGGCCAGGCCUGGGUUUUGACCUAGAAGUCUUGGUUGAGGCUCCUGUGUGGUGAGGGCAGAUCUAACAUGUGAGCACUUGGCAGUGUGUGGGUAAGAGGUAUCUUUGCUCAGCACCAGGGGUUGUGAGGUGUUGCGGGGUGAAUGGCUUCAGCUGCUGUGAGGAGAAGCCUCCCUCCAUCAUUGACCACACCUGUCAUUGGCAUGGAAGGCACUCUGCAAUAUGUCACGCCUUCUUGAGAAGCAGCCAGUAGGCUUGUCCUCAGUGUCUCAACUGCAGAUAGGCAUAUUUUUCCACAUUGCAGGAUUAUAAGCACUCCUGGGUGGCACCUUUCCAGGCUCUGCUUCUGUCCACUCUAUCCCUGCAUCCCUUCUUGUGCUGAGGGGUCCACACCCAGGCUCUUAGCAGAUGCUUAAAUGGGGCUGCAGAAAAUCCAGGCCUUCUCUUACCUUCUCAGCCUCUACCACCUUCUCACACUCAGAUGCCACACCCUGGCCCAUCUGGGUUCUGCCCCUGCUAGCCUUUCCGACUUAAGCAUUCCCUUUGCCUGCCCCAAUCACAGAAGCCAAUUAAUUGAGCUUAAGCUCAAGAUCCUAUCUUCCCAGACAUAUGCUUUGACUGCUUGAUUUCAUACCCACCCCCCCAUCCCUGAGCCCCUCUCCUAUCCGAUGCUGCUUUGCUCUACCUGAGAUUGCCUUGUUCAGGAGCCUAGUCAACCAGGGAGACCCAGAGAUCCAUGAGUUCUGUGGAACAGCAGCUACCUGCUCCACUCAGUAUAGGGGCUAUGAAAGAUGCCAGAGCUGAAACCCUGUCUGCUGUCACUUAGAGCAUCUUUGUCAGGGAUAGGACAGGACAGGCCUGGGGUCCAUGGGUUACAUUCCCAGGGAAGGAGUAUGUCACUGGCAAUGGGUUGUUUCUGGUAAUUUCUUAGGGCAGUGUGUAUAUCAUGUCUUCUUCGUUCUGCAGAAAUGUUGGCCACUAUGGAUGAAUUGUAGGAAAACCAGACAAGAUUUGUAGCAUUUUCAAACUGCUCUUAGGACACUAGAUUUCCUAGAUACUCUAAAAAUAAGGGGGUGAGGAUGGGAGUGAGUUAUUGAAUACAUUUUAAAACAUUUAUUAGUCUAUUCCCUUUUGAAAUUCCUACAGUAAAGAAAUCAAGUUAACUCUGUUUAACUCAGAGUUCAUAAAUUUAAUUGGCCAUGAAAUCCUCCCUCUUGCGGAAGAGCUAUCAAUAUCACAGAGAAGUAUCUGUGAAAUGUCAUUUGGGAAACACUAGUUUGACGCCUCUUUAGGAGAUCACAUCCAUUUCUUCGAUAUCAUCAGAGAUCUAUGAUGCUGUCUACUGAUAUGCCUUCCAAUUCAAUUUGAUAAACAUUUAUUAAGUACCUUCUAGAUACAGAUGUUGUGUUAAAUAGUGUGGGGAAGAUAAAGGAUGCUUUUCGAAACAUAGAGCCUGUAACAGAAGAUAAGUGAAGAAGAAAAAUAUCUCUAGAACAAAACUAAGUAGUAUUAUUAUCAUUA